Molecule: ribosomal RNA, 238 nt
Filed under: uncultured bacterium
Lineage: Bacteria
Description: partial 16S ribosomal RNA
Rfam family: Bacterial small subunit ribosomal RNA
Source: RNAcentral
CGGCGGACGGGUGGGUAACGCGUGGGUAACCUGCCUCAUACAGGGGGAUAACAGUUGGAAACGGCUGCUAAUACCGCAUAAGCGCACAGUACCGCAUGGUACGGUGUGAAAAGCUCCGGUGGUAUGAGAUGGACCCGCGUCUGAUUAGGUAGUUGGUGGGGUAACGGCCUACCAAGCCGACGAUCAGUAGCCGACCUGAGAGGGUGACCGGCCACAUUGGGACUGAGACACGGCCCAA